Molecule: long non-coding RNA, 1387 nt
Organism: Mytilus californianus (California mussel)
Lineage: Eukaryota; Metazoa; Mollusca; Bivalvia; Mytilida; Mytilidae
Exons: 2
Source: RefSeq, a predicted model, not a curated record
UUUAGUGUUGCAUUUUUUGGUUAAUAGUUUUAUCAAAUCAUUUUUGGUGGCAAAGACUGAUUAUACUAUACAACAAUUUUUUUUAAUCUACUUUAUCGAGGAACAUAAGCUGGAACUCAUACACUUGAAGAUGGCCGACAGUAUUAAACAAUCAGUUUAUGGCCUGGAGCGACAAUAUUCUGAAGAUUUUAGUUUAGAAUCAUUGCCAUCCACUCCAUCUAUAUCCGAAAUUGUUUUAAGAAUCAUCGCUAAGACUAUAAUGUACAAAGGUCACUGUUACUUGGGACUACAUGAGGAGACCGGGAGGAUAUACAGACCUAUUCUAAGCACACAGCCGGGAACCUGUUGUUGGCCUUCAAGCAGAAAUUUCAGUUUAAAAAAAUCAUACCGGUUUCAUGUAAUUUUCAAUCCCGAUCACCCUGUUGAGGACUUCUUCACUCCGCUUCCUCAUAGAUAUGAAGACAUGGUUGUUGCUUCAUUUGUGACUGAGGAGGAUAACGGAUCAUUUGAUACUCAACGUCUUACGAAAACAGCAAAGCGUGAUGUCAACGAAAUAUUUCCCGGAAUUCAGGAAACAAGAUACAUAAAUAAAAAUGCUGACGCACGUUCAACGGGAAUAUUGAAAUGUAGGUCUGAAAAUGUUUCCAUAUAUUUUAAUGAAUGGGAAAAGAGAAGAUGCAGCAUACAGAUGGAUUCCGGAAGUUACGAAUUUCCCGUGACAGGGAUUGACAUGGAGAACAUUCCGGACGAAAGCAAUGAUAUUAUUGUAGUCCUUGGGCUGGCUCGCCCCUACAACAAAGAUGGCGAAUACGUUCCUGCUCGAUGUUACAUUUUGGUCGUUGGUUUAUUUAUUCUGUAAUAACACAAUUGAGGUGUUCAAAUCUUAUGACAUCGUAUCAAAAGAAUUGCUAUAUAGGCAAGAGUUUAUAUGGCAAUAAAUAUUUGAAUUGAAUUAUAUUAAUUAUUAACUUUAAACUUAAAGUAACGCAAGAGGAUGUUUUCACGAAUUUAUAUUAAUCGAGAAAUAAGUGAAAACAAAAUCUUCGGAAAAUAUGCAGUAGUAUCUGUGAAUUUAAGAAAAAACCCAAAAACUAGUAAACAAUCAGUACUUCUCAUAUAACACCAGAGCUGUUCAAGGUCAUAAAUUCAUUUAUUUUAAAAUUUACUCUUUGACCUGCUUUUUUAUUAUUACGAUUGCUUUGUAAUUUCUUUGCAAAUGUUUCAGAUUUAAAUUGUUUGUUUUUGUAUUUAAUUUGAAAAAAGGAGAUGGGGUUCUCCAGUUUAUCUUGCUCGAAGAAAACUUAAAUUACAACAUUUUUCAUUUUGUUUAACUUACUAUGAAUGUGUUUAUACGACAUAACUUAAUAUGCAUUAAAUCUACAAUAUA